AGCAGCCGCGGUAAUUCCAGCUCCAAUAGCGUAUAUUAAAGUUGCUGCAGUUAAAAAGCUCGUAGUUGAAUUUCGGGACUAAUAUGUUGGUCGUGCCUCGGUACGUACUGAUAUUUUUGGUUUCUCCCUUCUGACGAACCUUGAUGUCAUUAAUUUGGUGUCUUGGGAAAUCAGGACUGUUACUUUGAAAAAAUUAGAGUAUUUAAAGCAGGCUCACGCUUGAAUACAUUAGCAUGGAAUAAUGAAAUAGGACGUUUGAUUCUAUUUUGUUGGUUUCUAGGAUUGACGUAAUGAUUAAUAGGGAUAGUUGGGGGCAUUAGUAUUCAAUUGUCAGAGGUGAAAUUCUUGGAUUUAUUGAAGACUAACUACUGCGAAAGCAUUUGCCAAGGAUGUUUUCAUUAAUCAAGAACGAAAGUUAGGGGAUCGAAGACGAUCAGAUACCGUCGUAGUCUUAACCAUAAACUAUGCCGACUAGGGAUCGGAUGAUGUUAAUUUUUUAAUGACUCAUUCGGCGCCUUAC
This 520-nucleotide ribosomal RNA is filed under the name uncultured Glomus. Its description in RNAcentral is "SSU rRNA". It matches the Rfam family "Eukaryotic small subunit ribosomal RNA", at positions 569 to 1091 of the family's 1831-position model. The record is from RNAcentral. Lineage: Eukaryota; Fungi; Glomeromycota; Glomeromycetes; Glomerales; Glomeraceae.